UCAAGUACAAAAGAGCAUCAGGUGAAUGCCUAGGCACUGGGAGCCGAUGAAGGACGUGAUAAGCUGCGAAAAGCUAUGGUGAGGAGCACAUAUCCGUUGACCCAUAGAUAUCCGAAUGGGGGAACCCACCGGUGGUAAUGCGCCGGUAACAUAUGGUGAAUACAUAGUCAUAUGUGGGGAACGGGGUGAACUGAAACAUCUAAGUAGCCCUAGGAAGAGAAAGAAACAUCGAUUUUCAAAGUAGCGGCGAGCGAAAUGGAAAGAGGCCAAACCUAACUGCUUGCAGUUAGGGGUAAUGGGCCACCGCACGUUGAAGACUUAGUGAGCUGAAUAGUAUUGGAAAGUACAAACGAAGAGGGUAAAAUUCCCGUAAGCGAAGCGAAGUCGAGACAGGUGGAACCCGGAGUAGGACCGGACACGAGGAACCCGGUUUGAAGGAGGAGGGACCACCCUCCAAGCCUAAAUACUACCCAGUGACCGAUAGAGGAGAGUACCGUGAGGGAAAGGUGAAAAGAACCCCGGGAGGGGAGUGAAAUAGAAUCUGAAACCUAAUGCUUACAAGCGCAGGGAGCGAAAGUGACCUGGUACUUUUUGUAGAACGGGCCAACGAGUUAUGGUAUGUAGCAAGGUUAAGUUACUGGAGUAACGGAGCCGAAGAGAAAUCGAGUCUUAAUAGGGCGAAAGUUAUAUGCUGUAGACCCGAAACCGGGUGAUCUAUCCAUGAGCAGGUUGAAGUAAUCGUAAAAGGUUAUGGAGGACCGAACUUAUAUCUGUUGAAAAAGGUUAGGAUGACUUGUGGAUAGCGGUGAAAUUCCAAUCGAACUCGGAUAUAGCUGGUUCUCCUCGAAAUAGCUUUAGGGCUAGCCUCAAGGUUGAGAUACACGGGGGUAGAGCACUGAUUGUUCGCGGGGCCUUCACCGGCUACCAACAACUCUCAAACUCCGAAUACCGUAGUAUCAUACUUGGGAGUCAGACUAUGAGAGAUAAGUUCCAUGGUCGAAAGGGAAACAGCCCGGAUCAACAGCUAAGGUCCCAAAGAGUAAGUUAAGUGGAAAAGGAUGUGAGAUUGCACAGACAGCUAGGAUGUUGGCUUAGAAGCAGCCAUACAUUUAAAGAGUGCGUAAUAGCUCACUAGUCGAGUGAUGUUGCGCCGAAGAUAAACGGGGCUAAAACUUACCACCGAAGCUUUGGAAUUAAAAUAAAUUAAUUGGUAGAGGAGCAUUCUAUACGGGUAGAAGUUAAACUGAAAGGUUUGGUGGACUGUAUAGAAGAGAGAAUGUUGGCAUGAGUAGCGUAAGGCGGGUGAGAAUCCCGUCCGCCGAAAAUCUAAGGUUUCCUGAGGAAGGUUCGUCCUCUCAGGGUUAGUCGGGGCCUAAGCCGAGAGCGAAAGCUGUAGGCGAUGGACAACAGGUAGAAAUUCCUGUACCACCGAGGAUUGUAUGAAUGAAGUGGGGACACAGAAGGAUAGGUUGAGCACGCGGUUGGUAGAGCGUGUCCAAGCAGUGAGGCUUAUAUGUAGGUAAAUCCGCAUGUUUAAAGGUUGAGCUGUUACGGGGAGUCAAAAGAGACGAAGCAACUGAUUUCACGCUGUCAAGAAAAGCCGCUAAUUAGAUCCAAGGUGCCCGUACCGCAAACCGACACAGGUAGAUGAGGAGAGAAUCCUAAGGUGAGCGAGCGAACUAUUGUUAAGGAACUCGGCAAAAUAACCUCGUAACUUCGGGAGAAGGGGUGCCUGCUUUUGCAGGCCGCAGUGAAUAGGUCCAGGCAACUGUUUACCAAAAACACAGGUCUCUGCUAAAGCGAAAGCUGAAGUAUAGGGGCUGACGCCUGCCCGGUGCUGGAAGGUUAAGGGGAACUGUUAGCGCAAGCGAAGCAGUAAACUUAAGCCCCAGUAAACGGCGGCCGUAACUAUAACGGUCCUAAGGUAGCGAAAUUCCUUGUCGGGUAAGUUCCGACCCGCACGAAAGGCGUAAUG
RNAcentral lists this ribosomal RNA (1975 nucleotides) under human gut metagenome. RNAcentral describes it as "bacterial LSU rRNA". It matches the Rfam family "Bacterial large subunit ribosomal RNA", at positions 3 to 2006 of the family's 2925-position model. The record is from RNAcentral.